Long non-coding RNA from Vitis riparia (riverbank grape), 222 nucleotides. RefSeq lists it as uncharacterized. The transcript is spliced from 3 exons. NCBI's taxonomy places the organism in Eukaryota, Viridiplantae, Streptophyta, Magnoliopsida, Vitales, Vitaceae. The record is from RefSeq and is a predicted model, not a curated record.
CAUUUCUUCAAGUCUCACACAGUUUCUCUUCAGAUUUCUUCAACUUAAAGCGCUUUAAGUUGUGGUUGGAUAAACAGUCCAUGAAAAAAGGGAUUAAAAGAAGGAAACAAUCAGCUUAAAAAGUGUAGUGUGGAGAAACAUUGUCUAUAUGGAAAAAUCAAAUGAUGUGGUUGAUGAAGUAGGAAUAAUGCUUUUAUAUGAAGGAGAAUGGGUACGAGAUGG